Molecule: long non-coding RNA, 487 nt
Filed under: Elaeis guineensis (African oil palm)
Lineage: Eukaryota; Viridiplantae; Streptophyta; Magnoliopsida; Arecales; Arecaceae
Description: long non-coding RNA (EGUI_LNC013203)
Source: RNAcentral
CAGAACUGGCAUCACAACUUUCCAUCUGUACAUUUUCAACAUCAACAUCUUGUGAUGAUCCUCGGAGCGGUUCUGAGUCGCUGCUCAACUGUGCAAGUAGAUCUUCCUUCUUCACAACAUUAAACAUAAUUCCAUUAUUAAUCCUUUCUGCCUGUAACAUAUCUCCUUCAGAAACCAUAAUGCUGGUGGAAGCAGCUACAGGAAUUCUAUUGCUACCUAGCUCAGAGUCUGUGUUCUCUGAGCUUCUAUCAGGGGUUGUUACUCUCGAGUUGCUAUGGUAAGGAUCCCUGCCAACCAUCUGAGUCACCAAGGAGUUGGAGUGGGCUGUUAAAGCAUCAGCCUCAUCCUCCCUUGACCAAGGCCUGUUGAAUUCUGCCUCAAGCUCAAGGCUUUGCACAAAGUUGAUGAAUUUGUUUGCAGAGGCUGUCCUCAUCAGAGGUCCACCACAUCUUGUCCAAGAAUUUAGGUAAUUUAGGUCCAUAUUAUC